UACAUGACAGUCGGCUCAGCCUAUCAUCGGCCGAGGCGGGACAUCGCUGCGGCCGGUGAUAGGCUGAAGGCUCUGUGACGUCCCAACACCAGGAAGCAGCGAUAACAGUGGAGGGACCAUGAGGCCGGUUCCUUAGCAACGGGGGAACGGAGGACGAAGUAUAUUUUAGAAGUGAGCAAGGCCCAAAUGAGAGAACAUGAGGAAAAUGUAAAAUCUUAAUGGAAAUAUUGUCUUGCCACCAUAUUUAAAGAAAACAUGCGACCACUUUCAUGCUGCCUGAACCAAGAGUCAUCGGGUAGUCCCUGCCAUCUCUUCUGCAGGAAGAAUAUUCCAUGCGUCCACUAAAGGCAUCACAAUGUGAUUUUCUAAUUGCUGCUAUAACGAACGCUGUGGUGUACGCAGUAUAACAAAGCAUUUUUAACUAA
Hyla sarda is the source of this 425-nucleotide long non-coding RNA. RefSeq lists it as uncharacterized. Lineage: Eukaryota; Metazoa; Chordata; Amphibia; Anura; Hylidae. The transcript has 3 exons. The record is from RefSeq and is a predicted model, not a curated record.